CGCAGUAAUGCGUGGCAUACGGCUCAGUAACACGUAGUCAACAUGCCCAGGGGACGUGGAUAACCUCGGGAAACUGAGGAUAAACCGCGAUAGGCCAAGGUUUCUGGAAUGGACAAUGGCUGAAACCUAUAUGGCCCCUGGAUUGGACUGCGGCCGAUCAGGCUGUUGGUGAGGUAAUGGCCCACCAAACCUGUAACCGGUACGGGCUCUGAGAGGAGGAGCCCGGAGAUGGGCACUGAGACAAGGGCCCAGGCCCUAUGGGGCGCAGCAGGCGCGAAACCUCUGCAAUAGGCGAAAGCUUGACAGGGUUACUCUGAGUGAUGUCCGCUAAGGGCAUCUUUUGGCACUUCUAAAAAUAGUGUAGAAUAAGGGGUGGGCAAGUCUGGUGUCAGCCGCCGCGGUAAUACCAGCACCCCGAGUGGCCGGGACGAUUAUUGGGCCUAAAGCAUCCGUAGCCGGUUCUGCAAGUCUUCCGUUAAAUCCACCUGCUCAACAGAUGGGCUGCGGGGGAUACUACAGGGCUAGGAGGCGGGAGAGGCAAGCGGUACUCAGUGGGUAGGGGUAAAAUCCUCUGAUCCACUGAAGACCACCAGUGGCGAAGGCGGCUUGCCAGAACGCGCUCGACGGUGAGGGAUGAAAGCUGGGGGAGCAAACCGGAUUAGAUACCCGGGUAGUCCCAGCUGUAAACGAUGCAGACUCGGUGAUGGGUUGGCUUCGAGCCAACCCAGUGCCGCAGGGAAGCCGUUAAGUCUGCCGCCUGGGGAGUACGGUCGCAAGACUG
This 781-nucleotide ribosomal RNA is filed under the name uncultured archaeon. RNAcentral's name for it is "bacterial SSU rRNA". It matches the Rfam family "Archaeal small subunit ribosomal RNA", at positions 63 to 851 of the family's 1478-position model. The record is from RNAcentral.